GUAGGUGGCAAGCGUUGUCCGGAAUUAUUGGGCGUAAAGCGCGCGCAGGCGGUUCGUUUAAGUCUGAUGUGAAAGCCCACGGGCUCAACCGUGGAGGGUCAUUGGAAACUGGAGAACUUGAGUACAGAAGAGGAAAGCGGAAUUCCACGUGUAGCGGUGAAAUGCGUAGAGAUGCGGAGGAACACCAGUGGCGAAGGCGGCUUUCUGGUCUGUAACUGACGCUGAGGCGCGAAAGCGUGGGGAGCAAACAGGAUUAGAUACCCUGGUAGUCCACGCCGUAAACGAUGAGUGCUAAGUGUUAGGGGGUUUCCGCCCCUUAGUGCUGCAGCUAACGCAUUAAGCACUCCGCCUGGGGAGUACGGCCGCAAGGCUG
This 373-nucleotide ribosomal RNA is filed under the name uncultured organism. RNAcentral's name for it is "partial 16S ribosomal RNA". It matches the Rfam family "Bacterial small subunit ribosomal RNA", at positions 527 to 896 of the family's 1533-position model. The record is from RNAcentral.